UGACCCUGAGGCUGAUACAGGGAUAUAUAGGAUGACCCUGAGACUGAUACAGGGAUAUAGAUGACCCUGAGGCUGAUACAGGGAUAUAGGAUGACCCUGAGACUGAUACAGGGAUAUAGAUGACCCUGAGACUGAUACAGGGAUAUAGAUGACCCUGAGACUGAUACAGGGAUAUAGAUGACCCUGAGGCUGAUACAGGGAUAUUGUAAUGUAGAAAGACCAUUAGUUACAUGCUACCAACAUGGUGCAUGCUACCUACCUGAAGCCAAGUACCACUAAUGCCAUGGACACCACUAGUAGGAUCUGAGCCAACACUAGGAACCGUUGAGGAUACAUAUGGAGUUGAAGAGAGGGGGAACAUGCAGAAUGUGACACCCAUCCUCCAUAGGUCCACAUGGCACCUACAUCUGAUGGCUGUUUGGGCAUGCUGUGGACUCCUUCCUCCUGAGAGCAUUCCUAGUGCACAUCCUGUUGCCUCCUGUACAUGUACUCAGCCCCGUUCGCUAGUCCCAUGGACAAGGACCUAACCUGUGAACCUUUAUCUUGGAAGAAAGGCCCAAAGAUGGAAUCAAUCAAUGGCACUCGACUGUCUGAUCUGUGAUGGAAGAGACUAAUUCUCCUGUGGAAGGGAAAAAACAUCCAAUCGUGUCUUGUCUUCUAUGAAUUAAUUAAGCAGAUGAUAUUUUUAAUGUCUUUUAUCUUUUUUGUUUGUGUCGUGUCAUGUGCAUUGUGUCAUUUUAACAAAUGGUGACACUGCACAUUUAAAAACUAAUUACACUGGUUAGUAAUCGAACCACCAUUGAACCAGUGUUGUGAGAAUGUUGUAGGCUACAUAUCUGUAAUGUGGCAUGGGACAACUGCUGAGAGAUGGUUUGCUACUCUGAUGAUCGUAGAUGUACCUAGUUAUAUGUGGGUCCACUUGAAGGAACCUCUGUAUGAAAAGCAUCGCAGGGUCCUUACAGCACUUUAUAAUGAUUGAUUUACGUGUGGAGUCCAUGAUAUGAGUACGAUACUCUGGGUUUUAAAGGGACAUUUGUGUAUUUUAAAAACUAAUAAUUAAAUACCGAUAAAGUUUUUUUAAAGGGAUCAUUAGUGGAUAAUGAAAGGUCUGUGAAACACAUUUACUUCUGAAGGUGUAAGUUUUAACUACAAAAUGUUUCGUAAAACCUAUUUUCUGUGUUUCAGUCGUUCUCGAGAAAAGUAUACUACUUCCUAAUAAGUUUUGGUCAUGAAUUGUCUUGUCCGUAAAGCACUUUAUAAUGAUUGAUUUGCAUGUGGACUUCCUGGUAUGGGUACAAUGCGCUAAUGUAAAUGUUAUAAAUAAAUUGACAGUAAUGCUUUUUGCAAGAGAUUUAUUAUCAAUUGAUAAUGACUUGUGGGGGGAAUCAAUGAAGGCAAGAAAUAACGAAGUGACAGAGGAAUCUAAAUGUCAACUGUACAAGAUGAUCUGUUUUUGUUAUUAAUUUACCGAGCAAUGUCAACCUGUAAAAUUGUUGUCAAGAGGAAAUGAAUCUGUCCAAUGUGCGUCAUAUGAGGUGGCAGCGUAGCCUAGUGGUUAGUGUUGGACAAGUAACUGGAAGGUUGCAAGUUCAAACCCCCGAGUUGACAAGUGUCGUUCUGCCCUGAACAGGUGGGUAACCCACUGUUCCUAGGCUGUCAUUGUAAAUAAGAAUUUGUUCUUAACUGUUUUGCCUAGUAAAAUAAAAAAAAUCCCAAAUGGCUGCUUUUCAGACGUUGAUACAGAGAAGCAUGAUUUGGACCUUGUUAUGCAUAAUGAUCUUACACAUUUUCUGUAAAAUCAAAUAUGAAAUCUAAAGCCCUCAUUCUGUGUAUGGAAAGAAAAAGGACACUAUCUUAAAGUAGUUUAACAAUGUUUUAAACUACACAUUUCAUUUUAAUUGUUUUUGUUGUAAUGAUUUAAUGUUUUAUUUGAUUUGUCCUUGUUUGUCUUUCCCUGAAAAUUGGGUUUGGGUGCCUCUUCUGUUGCGCAAAGAAGAUUGUGACAUUGCAAUAAAGUUUUACUUUUUAAAAA
Oncorhynchus masou masou (cherry salmon) is the source of this 2032-nucleotide long non-coding RNA. RefSeq lists it as uncharacterized. The record is from RefSeq and is a predicted model, not a curated record. The transcript has 2 exons. NCBI's taxonomy places the organism in Eukaryota, Metazoa, Chordata, Actinopteri, Salmoniformes, Salmonidae.